RNAcentral lists this ribosomal RNA (323 nucleotides) under uncultured Pseudomonadota bacterium. Its description in RNAcentral is "bacterial SSU rRNA". It matches the Rfam family "Bacterial small subunit ribosomal RNA", at positions 30 to 351 of the family's 1533-position model. The record is from RNAcentral. Lineage: Bacteria; Pseudomonadati; Pseudomonadota.
AUUGGACGCUGGCGGUAUGCUUAACACAUGCAAGUCGAACGGUAGCAGGCUUUCGGGCGCUGACGAGUGGCGGACGGGUGAGUAACGCGUAGGAAUCUGCCUCAUAGUGGGGGACAACGUGGGGAAACGUCACGCUAAUACCGCAUACGCCCUACCGGGGAAAGGACGGGGCGUCUUCGGACCUCGCGCUAUGAGAUGAGCCUGCGUUAGAUUAGCUAGUUGGUGGGGUAAAGGGCCUACCAAGGCGACGAUCUAUAGCUGGUCUGAGAGGACGAUCAGCCACACUGGGACUGAGACACGGCCCAGACUCCUACGGGUGGCAG